Molecule: transfer RNA, 75 nt
Filed under: candidate division WWE3 bacterium
Lineage: Bacteria; candidate division WWE3
Description: tRNA-Thr
Rfam family: tRNA
About the family: Transfer RNA (tRNA) molecules are approximately 80 nucleotides in length. Their secondary structure includes four short double-helical elements and three loops (D, anti-codon, and T loops). Further hydrogen bonds mediate the characteristic L-shaped molecular structure. tRNAs have two regions of fundamental functional importance: the anti-codon, which is responsible for specific mRNA codon recognition, and the 3' end, to which the tRNAs corresponding amino acid is attached (by aminoacyl-tRNA synthetases). tRNAs cope with the degeneracy of the genetic code in two manners: having more than one tRNA (with a specific anti-codon) for a particular amino acid; and 'wobble' base-pairing, i.e. permitting non-standard base-pairing at the 3rd anti-codon position.
Source: RNAcentral
GCCACCCUAGCUCAAUGGCAGAGCAGGCGCUUUGUAAGCGUCAGGUUGUGAGUUCGACUCUCACGGGUGGCUCCA